ACGCGGGCUGUCCGCGGUGCCCACGGUCAAGCCCACAUAAUUUACGUUUGUGGACACCCACGGUUAGAGCAUCGAGAGAUGCGGAUUAUGUGGGCUGUCCUGCGGCGCCCGCAUCAAACCCACAUCUCUUUCAAGUCAGAAUGUCAGUGGUGCGGAUUAGCCGAUUAUGACACGCCGCCAUGGCCGCCCAGCGCCGCUGUCCAACUCAGCCAUGGACGCCGUAAUGUCGUCGUCAACCUUCGCCAAGUACAGAGCAGAGCCGAUUCAUUCCACCUUGUUGAAUCACAUAUCAUCUGCGGCCUAAUAAUGCGAGUCAGCGGUUGUGGUAUCUUCCCUCCUCAUCUAAUCCUCCUUGAUUUCUUCUUCUCUGAAGAACGUCAUGAAGAAGCUUCGCUGCUUCAAGGAACAGCAGCUGCAGACAAGCAGAUUGCACUCUGCUCACCUCUUAUUUUGAGCUUAUAACAGUGGCACUUCUAAUAUCAUUUUCGAUGUGACUCAUCUACUGAAGGGACACCCGCCGAAGCACUGAGCUGCGACUUCGUAGAGGCAGAGGAUUGCCACUCCCAUAUAAACAAAAGUACUACAAAAAAGAUGUAAUUUGCAGUGCCAACUCCGAAGAUUCUUCACCUGAUAAUGAAGCCUGAACUUCUCUGC
This is a long non-coding RNA of Triticum aestivum (bread wheat), 654 nucleotides long. RefSeq lists it as uncharacterized. The transcript has 2 exons. NCBI's taxonomy places the organism in Eukaryota, Viridiplantae, Streptophyta, Magnoliopsida, Poales, Poaceae. The record is from RefSeq and is a predicted model, not a curated record.